AAAUUAUCCAAGUCAAACAAACCAGAUUGCAGGAGGAACAACUUAAUGAAUGUGAUUAUACCAAAUGGUACAAGUGGUAAUGAGAUACAGACACUAGAAACGCCGGUAUGUUACGGGAAGAACUGCACAGCGCUAAUGGGACUACAGUUGUUUUCUAACAGGCUUCCUAUUUGGAGGCCGUCCCAAUGGUGAACACAUGCACACGCAGGCAUCAGGCUGUGGGUCCGUUUGCUUUGCUCCUCGCAGGAAUGCUGGGAAUUGUUUGCUCUGUCUGCUUCAACUUCUGCUCCUUCUAGCCAGCUUAGUUUGGCUUUUUCCGGAUGCGCACGCGCGUGCACACACACACACACACACACACACACACAGUUAUUUUGCCAGUCAAGAAAUGCCCCUGUGUUUUAUGUUGCGCCCUGUAGAGAGCACAGUUUCCUCGUUGCUAUGGUGACCACCUGUAUGUCUUAAUGGUGUCCGAGAGGUUUUGGAUGGGAGCAGAGCUUUUGGAUGUGCGUCUCCGUAUCACGUCUGAGUGUGUUGCUAUUGAAGCCGCAGUGGACAGGAUCUGGGAUCAACGUUUGGGUUUGUCCUGCUGGCGAAUGCAGCGCUGUGGUCGGGUUGGCGAGGCGUAAAAAUUGUGGCGACUUCCUUGAACUGAAUUCAUGUCCCACAUUUGUCUGUUUUACAGACCUUUUACCACAGACUGCUGGCUUUGACGAAGGGUUGAAGACAAUCCGUCGUCUCCAGAACCUUUUUCAUCCGGCUGCCAAACACUCCAACCAUCCACCCAACAUGGGAACGCUGGAGUGCCGACUCAAAGCAGGCUCUGAGUCGCCAGGAUUAACAACCAGACAGAACAAUUCGGAGGUGGUCAUGAGAGAGAGAGAGCGUGUCUGUUCCAGCAGGAAAUCAGCUGAAGUUCAGCAGACAGUGUUGACUGAUAUAUAAUCUUUACUUUGCCCCCGUGUGUUGUGACUGGAAACGCAUGUGAAGUUCUGCCUCUGAGCUGAAAUCAUAAGUCAUCUUGUAGUAGCAUUGGUUUUGUAAUGACAUCAUGUAGCCACAGUCAGGACCCCCACCUGUGAAGUGGCUUCCAAACCGUACAAAAACACCCCCAGAGGGACAAAAAAA
Long non-coding RNA from Gasterosteus aculeatus aculeatus (three-spined stickleback), 1125 nucleotides. The record is from Ensembl. NCBI's taxonomy places the organism in Eukaryota, Metazoa, Chordata, Actinopteri, Perciformes, Gasterosteidae.